This 378-nucleotide unclassified non-coding RNA is filed under the name soil metagenome. Its description in RNAcentral is "partial contains 5.8S ribosomal RNA, internal transcribed spacer 2, and large subunit ribosomal RNA". The stretch from base 1 to 120 matches the Rfam family "5.8S ribosomal RNA", at positions 35 to 154 of the family's 154-position model. The record is from RNAcentral.
GAUGAAGAACGCAGCGAAGUGCGAUAAGUAAUGUGAAUUGCAGAAUUCCGUGAAUCAUCGAAUCUUUGAACGCAAAUUGCACUUUCUGGUAUUCCGGAGAGUAUGCCUGUUUGAGGGUCAGUGUAAUAAAAAUAAAUCGUGGUUGUUACCACUUUUCGUGGUGACGCUUCGGAAUUGAGUCGUCUUACCUUCGGUUAAGUGACUUAAAAUUUUUUCAUACGAUUUCGAAACGUAUUUAAUGUAUUAUGUAUGUUCACGAAUAUCGAAUGUUUAUUAGGUGCGGUCAUUUUCAUGAAUUCGCGUCCAUAAUUUUUUUUUUUUUGACCUCAAAUCAGGUAAGAAUACCCGCUGAACUUAAGCAUAUCAAUAAGCGGAGGA